This 497-nucleotide ribosomal RNA is filed under the name uncultured bacterium. RNAcentral's name for it is "partial 16S ribosomal RNA". It matches the Rfam family "Bacterial small subunit ribosomal RNA", at positions 28 to 507 of the family's 1533-position model. The record is from RNAcentral.
GAUGAACGCUGGCGGCGUGCCUAAUACAUGCAAGUCGAGCGAACAGACGAGGAGCUUGCUCCUCUGACGUUAGCGGCGGACGGGUGAGUAACACGUGGAUAACCUACCUAUAAGACUGGGAUAACUUCGGGAAACCGGAGCUAAUACCGGAUAAUAUAUUGAACCGCAUGGUUCAAUAGUGAAAGACGGUUUUGCUGUCACAUAUAGAUGGAUCCGCGCCGCAUUAGCUAGUUGGUAAGGUAACGGCUUACCAAGGCAACGAUGCGUAGCCGACCUGAGAGGGUGAUCGGCCACACUGGAACUGAGACACGGUCCAGACUCCUACGGGAGGCAGCAGUAGGGAAUCUUCCGCAAUGGGCGAAAGCCUGACGGAGCAACGCCGCGUGAGUGAUGAAGGUCUUCGGAUCGUAAAACUCUGUUAUUAGGGAAGAACAAGUGUGUAAGUAACUAUGCACGUCUUGACGGUACCUAAUCAGAAAGCCACGGCUAACUACGUG